This is a long non-coding RNA of Syngnathoides biaculeatus (alligator pipefish), 327 nucleotides long. RefSeq lists it as uncharacterized. The transcript is spliced from 3 exons. Lineage: Eukaryota; Metazoa; Chordata; Actinopteri; Syngnathiformes; Syngnathidae. The record is from RefSeq and is a predicted model, not a curated record.
ACAUUUUGUACUUACAGUUUGAAUCACAAUACGGCAUCGUUUAAGAAGUGAAGAGGACGCUAUUUUGAGACGCGUGUUGGGAGGAGAAAAAGAGGAUGUAACUGACAUUGCGACGAUUGCACUCGACAUUCAUCUGCCUUCGAGAGGUUCUGUCAUGCCGCGCUCGUUUCUUGUAAGGAGUAAAAAGACUCACCCCGCCGGUCCAUCCAAGGACGUCUUCCGGCAGCGGGAUGAAUCUCACACUGAUAAAGGUCAGCCUGUGGACCAAGUGGCAAGGGACUCUGAAGAUAAUGUGCAGUCAGGUUUCCAUCCGGAGCUUCUGUUUGG